Molecule: long non-coding RNA, 811 nt
Filed under: Homo sapiens (human)
Lineage: Eukaryota; Metazoa; Chordata; Mammalia; Primates; Hominidae
Description: HSALNT0174073
Source: RNAcentral
CGAGAGGGCAAAUUACCUCUUUCCCAGGCCCCGCACCAGCUGUUGUCUUGGUUUCCAAGAAGGGAAGCCCAACCACUUUGUUUACAUUCCAAGUGACCUGGAGUAACAACCGGGGACCAGCUCUCUGGAGGCCAAGGCUACACCUGGGACAACUGGCUGAGGUUGAAAGUGAGUUGACAGCAGUUGCCAUUCACCAGCGGGUCCUGGGUCCUCGUCCUCAUCCUUGUCUUUGUCCUCUUGGCUUCCCCUGGGAGUCAUCAGCGGGGUUCGAACAAGAUUUGCUGGUUCCGGAGCUUGGAUGGAAAGAGCUGAAUAUCCCCUCUAUUUUGAGUAGGAAUAGAUGAUUGAAUACUCCGCAUACAAAUGGAAAACGCAUCAUCUAUCUGCAGGCAUCAUGAUUACCAGGAGGGGACUGGAGAAUGCUCCAUCAUGGUUACAGAAGAGCUUCAAGGGCCGUGGGACCUUCUUUAGCCAUUCUCACCAGCAGAAAGCCACAGGGAAGAAGAGGAAAAGGGUGAAAGAAGCCCAGAGUGAUAAAAGGGAGUCUCUAUUCUCUCCCAUUCUUUAAAACCAGAGCAUUUUGAGCAAACCACCAUUAAGACACUUGCUUUAUUGAUUUUUAUAAAUUUUUAUUUGGCUAUUUUGGGGAUGGGGGGAGACAAAAAUCACUGAAGGAAAUGUUCAAAGCUGGGAGGAAAAGUGGUUGGUGACUUUUUUCCCACAUUUGUAAAACAUCCUUUCACAUUUUGUCUGAAUGCCUAUUGCCCGUUGCCAAAUCCUAAUUCAAUUAAAGGUUUAGCAAUGAACACCA